AUAUAUAUAUAUAUAUAUAUAAUUUAAUAUAUUAUCCAUCAAAUAAUCCUAAAAAAAAGUUUCAUGAUUUCCACAAAAAAACAUUAAAAUUGCAAAUCUUCCACAGGUAGAACAUAUGCUGGUGGGCUUUCUUACACACAGCAUCCACAUGAGCCUCAAAGGUCAACUUUUUGUCCAUUACUUACAGAACCAAGGUAUUUAAAAUGUACAACCUCAACAACAUGAUCAUUAAUGACCACUACAGAGACCACUGUAGGAUUCCUCCUAAAAUCUAUAAUCAUCUCUUUAGUGUUAAGUACAGUAAUGUCCAGAAAGGACAAUUUACACCAAUCAAUCAAAUCUGUCAGUACAGGACCAUGAUCAAGAUCUUCACUACUUAAAAGGGAAACCAUCACUGAAUCACCUCUCUAGUUGCGUUUGACACUCAUUAGUAUAAAGCACAAAUAAAAGAGGUGAAAGAACGCAGAUGUUUACUUGAGCAGAAAAUCAGCAUAUUAGAAUGAGUUCGUAAAGGAUCAUGUGACACCGAAGACUAGAGAAAUGAAUGCUGAAAAUUCAGCUUAGCCAUAACAGGAAUGAAUUCCAUUUAAAAUAAAAUAGAAAUAUUUCAAAUUAAUUUCACAAUGUUCCUGUUUUACCAUAUUUUGGAUCAAGUAAAUGAAGCAUAAUUGACAAAAAAUAUGUAAAAUUUUUUACAGACCCCAAAACUUUUGAACGAUAUUGUACAUCCAUAAAGUAACAACAUAGUUAGCACAUUACACAAAGAUAUAAACCAUCCUUGCAUCUCACGGUUAAUUCAUCUGCUUGUCUCAUAUUUUAUGACUGUGUUUCCUGGCAAAGGUGGCUUAGACGAGCUUAAGUCCCACCUAUUGUCCUCUUGUAUCAUGAAUUAUAUGAUCAGUUGUCAUGAUGAAACAGCUCACACUGCAACAGGUUUGCUGCUUUCGUUCAGAGAACUUUCCACAGAAGGUGAUAUAGUGUGUGUGUGUAUUUGGUACAUUCAGGAUUUCCAUGAUUGGUGUUUGUGGGUCACUGUUAUCAAGGUGAAGUUCUCCAGUGUCUUAAUCACAUGAAUCAUCUCUCUCUGCCAAUGCAGUCUUAUUGGACUGUUGAUGUUUACCGUUUCUUAAGUUCAUCUACUAGUCAAAAAAAAGAGACUCCCACGGGGUCAGGGGCAAUCCUGUUAUCUCAUAGACUGGCAGAACAGCUCCAAAAAUCGACUAAAGGGAGCAGGGGUUCAGUUGUUGUUCCUCCUAUGGUGCCAAUCGGGUGGCAUUGCACUAUGACAUACUUAUAAUGUGUGAGCAGUGUUCUGGAGUUAUGUCCCCAACAGGGAUGCAGAUGUCAUUCACUUUUUCAGACUAUUUGAGGAGAUGUCUGACUCGGAUCUCUUUGAUUCCAGGAAGGUUGUUAAUAUGUAACACUUGACAAACCCAAACCAGACAUGCUCAGACUAGAAAUCUUCACCUUGAUCUUGUGUGUAGGUGGGAAAGUUAGUAAUGGUGUGGUUGUCGCUGUGGGGUAACGAUGACACCAAGGCUGGGAGGAACUCUGGGACCUUUGGUUCCCCUAUCGGACCUGCCCUUCAGUUGAACAAUGAACUAGCAGCAUUCCUGCCGCUCCAGACGCCGCUGUGCGGACAGCUCUGAAAGUGGUGGCAUUGUUAGGUCAGACAAAGCCCUUUAUCAAAGGCACUGCUUCUGUGCACCAGGGUCAAAGCAGGCCACCGUACAACCCCACUGCCUGCCAGAGCUGAAAGUGGAUUGAGAAGGUAACGGCAGGUGAAGGGCAUGUCAGGUUAUCCUUAGACAGGACAGGUAGCAUGGUAAGAUUUGGUUGAGGAUGUAUGUAAAGAUUGUCAUGAUGGUCCUGCUGAAUUCCUUUAAUACAGAAUUUUGUUUAAAAAAAUAAAA
Carassius gibelio (silver crucian carp) is the source of this 1913-nucleotide long non-coding RNA. RefSeq lists it as uncharacterized. The transcript is spliced from 2 exons. The record is from RefSeq and is a predicted model, not a curated record. NCBI's taxonomy places the organism in Eukaryota, Metazoa, Chordata, Actinopteri, Cypriniformes, Cyprinidae.